RNAcentral lists this ribosomal RNA (468 nucleotides) under uncultured bacterium. RNAcentral's name for it is "bacterial SSU rRNA". It matches the Rfam family "Bacterial small subunit ribosomal RNA", at positions 329 to 795 of the family's 1533-position model. The record is from RNAcentral.
UGCCAGACUCCUACGGGAGGCAGCAGUGAGGAAUAUUGGUCAAUGGGCUUACGCCUGAACCAGCCAAGUCGCGUGAGGGAAGACUGCCCUAUGGGUUGUAAACCUCUUUUGUCAGGGAGCAACGCCGGCUACGUGUAGCCGGACUGAGAGUACCUGAAGAAAAAGCAUCGGCUAACUCCGUGCCAGCAGCCGCGGUAAUACGGAGGAUGCGAGCGUUAUCCGGAUUUAUUGGGUUUAAAGGGUGCGUAGGCGGGAUGCCAAGUCAGCGGUAAAAAUGCGGUGCUCAACGCCGUCGAGCCGUUGAAACUGGCGUUCUUGAGUGGGCGAGGAGUAUGCGGAAUGCGUGGUGUAGCGGUGAAAUGCAUAGAUAUCGCGCAGAACUCCGAUUGCGAAGGCAGCAUGCCGGCUCCACACUGACGCUGAGGCACGAAAGCGUGGGUAUCGAACAGGAUUAGAUACCCUCGUAUC